This 524-nucleotide ribosomal RNA is filed under the name uncultured bacterium. RNAcentral describes it as "bacterial SSU rRNA". It matches the Rfam family "Bacterial small subunit ribosomal RNA", at positions 355 to 896 of the family's 1533-position model. The record is from RNAcentral.
UGGGGAAUAUUGGACAAUGGACCAAGAGUCUGAUCCAGCAAUUCUGUGUGCACGAUGAAGUUUUUCGGAAUGUAAAGUGCUUUCAGUUGGGAAGAAAGAAAUGACGGUACCAACAGAAGAAGUGACGGCUAAAUACGUGCCAGCAGCCGCGGUAAUACGUAUGUCACAAGCGUUAUCCGGAUUUAUUGGGCGUAAAGCGCGUCUAGGUGGUUAUGUAAGUCUGAUGUGAAAAUGCAGGGCUCAACUCUGUAUUGCGUUGGAAACUGUAUAACUAGAGUACUGGAGAGGUAAGCGGAAUUACAAGUGUAGAGGUGAAAUUCGUAGAUAUUUGUAGGAAUGCCGAUGGGGAAGCCAGCUUACUGGACAGAUACUGACGCUGAAGCGCGAAAGCGUGGGUAGCAAACAGGAUUAGAUACCCUGGUAGUCCAUGCCGUAAACGAUGAUUACUAGGUGUUGGGGGUCGAACCUCAGCGCCCAAGCAAACGCGAUAAGUAAUCCGCCUGGGGAGUACGUACGCAAGUAUG